Homo sapiens (human) is the source of this 1180-nucleotide long non-coding RNA. RefSeq lists it as uncharacterized. NCBI's taxonomy places the organism in Eukaryota, Metazoa, Chordata, Mammalia, Primates, Hominidae. The transcript has 3 exons. The record is from RefSeq and is a predicted model, not a curated record.
AUUCUCGCUCAGCACAGAACACUCGCUCUGGAGCAUGGAAGGAGGAGAGGUUAGCCAAGGACACGAGGGGACAGCCUGUGGAAAAGAAGAUCUGGGCCUGGGAAGGUUCCUUUUCUUUCUGAGCCUCAAGCUCCCCAACUGAGCUAUGGGUGCAUUCUGCUGGAGGCAGGCUCCAAGAAGGGAACUUGGCCCUGGAGGAAGGGCAGGUGUUGGAUAUAGGGGGUCCUCACACCUGCAGAGACUGCACGUGCUGGUUAACCCGGUUGGUCUUUUCCUUCAAGCUGGUGAUGGAGUCUUUGGCGCGGACCAAUCCACUGUUGACCCCACUCUGGGGAAGAAUGGGAGACAGGGCUGUCUUGGACCAGCAGAUAGAGGACACAAUGAAACAGAAGAAGCCUGAAUCCUUGACAUGGAGCCACCAUACUCCAUUCCAACCACCUGUGAAGACUUUCAGGGGAACGAUAGCCUCAAUGUCAUAAGCAGCCACCUAUGAAGAGGCCCAUGUAGCAAGGAAUUGAGGCCUCCAGCCAAGGGCAGGUGAGUGCCCCAUUUUGGUAGCACAACCUCUGGCCCCAGUCCAACCUUCAGGUGACUGCAGCCCCAGCCAAAAUCUUGUUUGCAACCUCGUGAGACGCCCUGAGCCAGGCCCACCCAGCUGAGCCCCUCCAAGUUUGUUGUUUGAAGUUUUGGUGUAAUUGGUUUCACAGCAAUAGAAAGCAUUACACAAAGUGUCUUUCUAACCUGAAGACUCAGAAGGUCUUGGGUUUCCUGUGGGUAAUUGUUCUGGAAACCAAGGCAACAGGACCUAGGGCCAACUAAUUUCUCCCAGUUACUAGCCGUAUGACCUCAUGGAGAGGACUUCACCUCUCUGUGCCUCUGCUUCCCUACCUGUGAAAUGGAGAUAUAACUAACAACUACCUUCACAGGGUUCCCAUUGUCCUUCCUCCUACCUGGAAACUGACACUCUCUCAACCAGGGUCUCCAUCACCGCCUGGUUCUCUGUCCCCCUCUUUCCAGUUCUCUGUCCCCACCCAGCCCCUGUGUCUGUUCCUUCUCUCUCUGGGUCUCUAUCCCCCUCCUCUAUUUCUGGUCUUCUGUCUCACCCUGAUUCAGCUCUGUCCCCCAAAUCUCAGAGUCUCUGACUUAUUUUUCCUGAGUCUCUGCCUUUCUACUCUUUAGG